RNAcentral lists this long non-coding RNA (1770 nucleotides) under Zonotrichia albicollis (white-throated sparrow). RNAcentral's name for it is "lncRNA (ENSZALG00000011287.1)". The record is from RNAcentral. Lineage: Eukaryota; Metazoa; Chordata; Aves; Passeriformes; Passerellidae.
CAUAAAUGGGUCUGAGAUGAUUAAAGCCCUCAUUUGCAAGCAGGAAAAUUUCAUCUCUGCAAUUGUCUCUGGGAUAAAAAGAUCUCCCUCUGGCCCCAACACUUUCUGUUCACAUGCAGAUCCCAAACUGAAUUCAGCACCUAACAGCACAUCAUCUCUUUGGAAGACAGACACCCUCUCAGGAGAAGGAAAGAAAUGGUGUGGUCCUUUAUGGAAGCUUGGAGUACCAAGAAGCUGGUGCCAAAUCCCUGCUUUCCUUCUGAACAGAACAGAUGAAGACAUCUUCAAGCCAGCCGUUACCAUUCAUCCAUCUGUCCUUGGAGCGUGGCAGGGGACUGGGAGCAGGUUUCUGCUUGUACCAGCACCAGCAGCUGAAGUAUCUGUUCCACUUCACUGGAGUAACAAAAGGGCUUACUGGGUUUUGUUUUAAAAAGUAUUUUAUUUUCUUUUUUUUUUUUUACUUCUUGUCAAGCCUAUCGCUUAGUCAGUAUUAAAAGAAAAUGCAGUAACAGCUCUGUUCAGCUGCCAAAACCUAAUCAACACAAAGAAGUUUUCAAGUAGCUGUCAGACAGGAUUAUGAUAUUGAUCCUAACUAUGUGCAUGUUCCAGGAAAAGGAGCAUCUCUUGAACUAAAAGUCAGAGGGUGACAGGUAAUGAAAGAAAAAUAUUUUACAGCUCGAAGGAUGAUUUUGUCCUCACAUUAGGAGAUCUGCCUAAUUACAGCUGAGAGAAAAAGCAGCACCUGUGCAUGUUUUGCUGAUGUCUUACCUUGUACUCUGAACCCCUCAUCUCUUACAAAUUAGCAGGUACUGAGAGAGUCGCAGCAUGAACAUAAGGGUUUGAGAAACAUCCAUGCCAUGAGGGAGUAAUAUGUGUGAUUUAAUGGGUAGCUCUCCCUGUUUGAGACAGUAGUGAAUCAAGAAUUUUAGGAGUUUGUCAAGGAGAGUGACUUUGGGAUCAGAGACAAGCUCAAGGCUAUCCGAAUUUCUGAUCAUUACUGAUCAUAUGACAUUAUUUAUAACACCAGUGAAAUUGACUUCUGGGUCUUACCCCCAAGUGGUGAGACAGGUAACAGUCUGGGUUUGAGUACAGAUAAAAUCAGAUGGGUUUGGAUUCAUCAGGAUAAAUGCAAACUACAGCAGAUAUUUGAAGCAGGACAGGAGAAUCAUAGACUACAGGUCUAAAUGUUGUCCCACUUGUCCCAUGUCUCAAGGUGCAUAAGAUGAAUCCCAUCUACAAGGACUCCAAGUUCUAUGUUCCAACACACGAAAGAAAGGAAGAGCCCUUACUUCUGAGGAGCCCAGAGAUAUACUGGAAAUUCACAGAGAAUCAAAUUCCAUGUUUGUUUAUUUAUCUGUCACCCAUCAUGGUUCAAAAGAGUAACAUCAGUACUCCAACAAGAGGCACAUUUGAGGGAUAAAAUAUGGGGUUUGAGGGAUAAAUCCAAAAAUGAGCUAAUAUAGAUUCAGAUUUAGUUGCUUUCAACUUUGGUUUAAAUUUGUUGGGGCCUUUUUUAUGCAAUAUAAUUACCAUUUUAUGUACAGCGCAAAGAGCCCAAGAAAGGAGCUUUGUGCAGUACUGCCAUAGGCACUGUGAGUAACUGCAGUCCUCUGGACAUCCCCCAGCAAUCCCACCUGUCUUGCCUCCCUACCCACCUGCAUAUCCCUCUCUGCCUGACUCCUGUCACAGAGGGGUAGCCUAUUUUGCCUAGCAACUACCAUGUGAGUGAUAAGACAUAUUAAUAACAAAUAAAUUAUGCUCUAAAUUACA